Molecule: ribosomal RNA, 443 nt
Filed under: uncultured bacterium
Lineage: Bacteria
Description: partial 16S ribosomal RNA
Rfam family: Bacterial small subunit ribosomal RNA
Source: RNAcentral
CCUACGGGAGGCAGCAGUGGGGAAUAUUGGGCAAUGGACGCAAGUCUGACCCAGCAACGCCGCGUGAAGGAAGAAGGCUUUCGGGUUGUAAACUUCUUUUCUAAGGGAAGAAGAAAGUGACGGUACCUUAGGAAUAAGCCUCGGCUAACUACGUGCCAGCAGCCGCGGUAAUACGUAGGAGGCAAGCGUUAUCCGGAAUGACUGGGCGUAAAGGGUGCGUAGGUGGGUUGAUAAGUUGGUAGCGUAACUCCGAGGCUCAACCUCGGAACUACUACCAAAACUGUCGGACUUGAGUGCAGGAGGGGCAACUGGAAUUCCUAGUGUAGCGGUGGAAUGCGUAGAUAUUAGGAGGAACACCAGUGGCGAAGGCGAGUUGCUGGACUGCAACUGACACUGAGGCACGAAAGCGUGGGGAGCAAACAGGAUUAGAUACCCUUGUAGUC